Molecule: ribosomal RNA, 218 nt
Filed under: uncultured bacterium
Lineage: Bacteria
Description: partial 16S ribosomal RNA
Rfam family: Bacterial small subunit ribosomal RNA
Source: RNAcentral
CCUGGCUCAGAUUGAACGCUGGCGGCAUGCCUAACACAUGCAAGUCGAACGGCAGCACGGUCUAGUUUACUAGAUGGGUGGCGAGUGGCGGACGGGUGAGUAAUGCGCAGGAAUAUGCCUUAAAGUGGGGGACAACUUGGGGAAACUCAAGCUAAUACCGCGUAAUCUCUUUGGAGAAAAGCUGGGGACCUUCGGGCCUGGCGCUUUAAGAUUAGCCU